AUACGUAGGGUGCGAGCGUUGUCCGGAAUUACUGGGCGUAAAGAGCUCGUAGGUGGUUUGUCGCGUCGUCUGUGAAAUUCCGGGGCUUAACUCCGGGCGUGCAGGCGAUACGGGCAUAACUUGAGUACUGUAGGGGAGACUGGAAUUCCUGGUGUAGCGGUGAAAUGCGCAGAUAUCAGGAGGAACACCGGUGGCGAAGGCGGGUCUCUGGGCAGUAACGGACGCUGAGGAGCGAAAGCAUGGGUAGCGAAAAGGAUUAGAUACCCUGGUAGUCCAUGCCGUAAACGGUGGGCGCUAGGUGUAGGGGUCUUCCACGACUUCUGUGCCGUAGCUAACGCAUUAAGCGCCCCGCCUGGGGAGUACGGCCGCAAGGCUAAAACUCAAAGGAAUUGACGGGG
Molecule: ribosomal RNA, 398 nt
Filed under: uncultured bacterium
Lineage: Bacteria
Description: partial 16S ribosomal RNA
Rfam family: Bacterial small subunit ribosomal RNA
Source: RNAcentral